AUUUUUUGUCACUUUCUACUUUACAUAUUUAGCCACAUUUCCCUCUCCUUUCGAACAAUUUCAACAAAAUGGAUGCGAAAAUCGGAAAAUUCUUCGAUUCAAUCGGCGAUUUCUUCACCGGCGGAGAUCAAAUUCCUUGGUGCGACUCUGAUAUAGUCGCUGGUUGUGAACGUGAAGUUGCUGAGGCUGAAAAAGGUUCAUCUGAUGACCUUAAAAGUGAAUGCAUUAUGCGUUUAUCUUGGGCUCUUGUUCACUCAAGAAGGCCUGAAGAUAUACAGCGUGGGAUAGCAAUGCUUGAAGCUUCUUUGGGUGGCAGUAGCAGUCCCUUGCAAAUGAGGGAAAAGCUUUAUCUUCUGGCUGUUGGUUACUAUAGAAGCGGGGACUUUCCAAGAAGCAGGCAGCUUGUUGAUCGUUGUUUGGAGAUUGCGCCGGAUUGGAGGCAGGCCUUGACCCUCAAGAAAACAAUUGAAGAGAAAAUUACCAAAGAUGGAGUUAUUGGCAUCGGCAUUGCUGCUACUGCUGUUGGAGUUUUGGUUGGUGGAAUUGCAGCUGCUUUAGCCCGCAAGGGUUGAACUUGUCAUAUAAACACAACUAGUGUGCAUAUUGAACUCAACUCUUCCCUUUCUGUUAUCUCUUCUGAAAAGCACAUGAAUUCGUAUUUGUGAGUGCAGAAGUUUUGAUACUUUUCCUUUGAAUUGGUAGAAGAAAACAAUGGCAUGUACAACUGAAUCAAGAUUCUUGAUUUCAUUUUCUAAUUUUAUAUAA
RNAcentral lists this unclassified non-coding RNA (765 nucleotides) under Hevea brasiliensis (rubber tree). Lineage: Eukaryota; Viridiplantae; Streptophyta; Magnoliopsida; Malpighiales; Euphorbiaceae. The record is from RNAcentral.